RNAcentral lists this unclassified non-coding RNA (343 nucleotides) under Hevea brasiliensis (rubber tree). Lineage: Eukaryota; Viridiplantae; Streptophyta; Magnoliopsida; Malpighiales; Euphorbiaceae. The record is from RNAcentral.
GUGGUUGGGGAGAUCUAGGGAAUCGUGAGUAUAUGUCUUCCAUCUUUAUUUUGCACUUUCUAGGCCUAUGGGCGUUUUACAAAUUUGAUCACUUGGACAAAUAUGCAUAUCCUUAAUGUAAGUAGCUGGUUUAGUUUUACUUAUAUCAGUAAAUACAUAUGUGCUUUUGUUGUGGCACAAGGGCAUGCUAUGCUGCUACUUACCUGUAGAGAUAUUCCUUUUCUUCCUCAUUAUUUUACUUGAUUUUAUGAGUAAUUUUUGUUUAGAAAUGUACUUAAAAGAAACACCCACAAGAUUGCUUUAAAGAAGGCAAUGAGAGACUUUGUUAUAGGAUAAGGUUCCU